Molecule: long non-coding RNA, 2674 nt
Organism: Gorilla gorilla gorilla (western lowland gorilla)
Lineage: Eukaryota; Metazoa; Chordata; Mammalia; Primates; Hominidae
Exons: 3
Source: RefSeq, a predicted model, not a curated record
GUCAUCUCCAUUAAGAAUCAGCUUAUUGGCCGGGCGCAGUGGCUCACGCCUGUAAUCCCAGCACUUUGGGAGGCUGAGGUGGGCAGAUCACGAGGUCAGGAGAUCGAGACCAUCCUGUCUAACACGGAAUCCUUUCUGGCACUCAAGAGUUUUCAAUUCAAUCCUGAUGAAUGAAUCAUUAUUUGAUACCAGCCUAAGUGAAGACUCUGCCUGGUGACUUAUGCAAGAGCUUUAGUGUUUAUCCAGCUAUUGGUAUGCAGACAACUAUACCCUUAUGAGAAACACUAGCAGAGAAGAAGAGUUCUUGACUGAGUCUGGGCCAUGAAACUGACCGGAUAAAAGUGGGAGAAGAAGAGAUGUUGAAGGAGGGUUUGCUGUUUUCUCAGUCUCCUGAGAAAUUCCAGGUUUGGAUGCUUCCUAAGGCCAUUCCCACUCUCCUCUAUCUAAACCAGAGAGAACGAUUGCUUGUCCUUAUCACAUUAUCCUUGCUUUCACUGUAAAUGAUGAUAAAUAAUAAUCUCUACACUUGCAUUUGCAUACAGCACUGCUUGCUUUUUCAAAGAACACUCAAGUCUGUUCUCACAUUUGAUUCUCACACCAGGCUUGGAGAUAUUUGAGGCAUCUCCUCCCCCCAAACUCAGUUGGACAGAUCAGAAAAAUGAGGUCCAGCAAACUGAAAUGACUUGCUCCAGAACUCACAGACAAUUAAUGACUAGAACCCAGGUCUUCUAACUUCCUACCAAUUAUUGUGAGGAGAGCCCAUAAAGGAGAAAAGGACAAGGGAUGAUCUAUGGAACAUUCAAACUCCUGUCUCUAGUUGCCUUUUUCUGGUUGUUUCUUGGACAUCACGCACUCUCAUCAGCAGCCUUCCUACUCUUACAGAUUAUCAACACCUGUCCCAAAAUCCUGGGGCCAGCCAUGGUGCUUGGGCUUUUUUUCCCCACAUCUAACCAUUCCGCAGCAUAUAACAAAUCCUUGACAAAUUUCCAGUGGAAAAAAAUAGCAGAAACCAUACACCCUCCAUCUGUGAAUUGAUGUGGCCAAGAACAGGCUUAUUUCAAAGGGUGCACCAUAGAAUAGUCAUAAGACUCAACCCCUCCAAGACUAGCUGGUGCUUAUCCCGCCCAUAGGCAGUUAAAAGGACUUUAUUUGCAUCUUAUUCUUUCCAACAGAAAGGCAAACAUUAUUAUUACAAUUCAGUAAAUUUCCAUAAGGAACCCCAUUGACACAUGUUGUAUAUUUUGGGUUCUUUUGUUUCAUACUGAGCAUACUAACAUUAUAUCAAUAUUAUAUUUAUCUAGCAUUCUCCCAUAUUCAUAGAAAUAGAGAACUCAUCGGCCUUUAAAAAGAACUCAAAUGCACACAAAAUUCCACCCUCUAGAAAAGCAUCAAUGAAAAUGAUUUUGCAAAUAUAUAUACUUUUCAAUAUGUAAGUAUCUACAAAAAAAUUGAUAAUAAUUAAAUACCUGUAAAGUGCCAUGCACUUUACCUGUAUAUCUCAUUUAAUUCUCACAACAACCCUGUGAAGUAAGAAUUACUACGCCCAUUUUAUAGAUGAACUAACUAGGAGUCAAAGACGUUGAGCCACUUGCCACACAUUUACAGCACGGAGCUACAAAGAUCUGGGACUUGAAUCCAGGUUUUCUAACUCCAGAGCCAAAGCUUUUCUUAAUAUGCCACAGGAGCAAGCACAGGAGCUUGCUCCAAAAGUCAAGUUAAUUUUUAGGAAAGAAUUAGGUAAGCAAAUAUUCAUGAAUUAGAGAAUGUCUUUAAUUUCAGAUCCAAAUCACUUGGUCACUUAAAAAUAAAAGACAAUAAAUCAUAAGGGAUUCUACUUGACUUAUUAUCUAAAGUGAUUAAUAAGAAUGACAUUUCCCCACCAACCCCAAAUGAAAAAAUCAAUUUGGGAAGUUUCCCAAUAAUUUAAACUUGAAACACUAAUCUGAAAAAGAAAAUCUGUAUAUCAAAAGUCUUCAUAGUAUGGCACAAAUAAAACAGAAUCUUAAUUUCCAAUUUCUAUUAAACUGAUUUUUCUUUUAAACUGGAGCCAGAAAGCCAAAAAGCCUUCAAAUCAAUUGAGCCUCUUGCAUUUUAUUUAAGAGGUUUCAUUUUUCAAACCAAAGCUGGGAAGACAAAACAAGCUUAUUUAAUUCACACCCCAGAAUUGUAAUUUCUCUGUUCAAGCCAAUGUCUAAGUGCCUGUAUUAAGGGCUUCCCACUGACCAUUAUGUGUUAAUUCAUCACCGCACACAAUUUUCCUUUGUAUUUUUAAGCUACUCUUCAUUUUCCCCUUGGUUAGGGUUGCCUAUACAACAGAAGACACCCAGUAAAACAUAAAUUUCAGAUAAACAACAAAUAGUCUUUACAUAAGCAUGCCCCCUGCAAUAAUUGAGACAUACUUAUACCCCCAAAAUUAUUUAUCUGAAAUUCACAUUUAACUAGACAUCCUGUAUUUUUAUUUGCUAAAUCUGGCAACCCUAUUCUUGAUCCAUUGUGGGUAUUCCCAGGACUUCACCUCUAAACUAUUAUAUUUUUCAAAUACAUUAUUUGUAUGUUUUGUGGUGUGUGUGUGUGUGUGUGUGUGUGCGCGCACGCGUGCCUCUCAGAAUGGAGGUUCUGGAGCAUCUCUCACUCUUGAGACCACAGCUAUCUAUCACUUUGGUUAUCAAUGUGU